GAUGAACGCUGGCGGCGUGCCUAAUACAUGCAAGUCGAGCGAACGGACGAGAAGCUUGCUUCUCUGAUGUUAGCGGCGGACGGGUAAGUAACACGUGGAUAACCUACCUAUAAGACUGGGAUAACUUCGGGAAACCGUAGCUAAUACCGGAUAAUAUUUUGAACCGCAUGGUUCAAAAGUGAAAGACGGUCUUGCUGUCACUUAUAGAUGGAUCCGCGCUGCAUUAGCUAGUUGGUAAGGUAACGGCUUACCAAGGCAACGAUGCAUAGCCGACCUGAGAGGGUGAUCGGCCACACUGGAACUGAGACACGGUCCAGACUCCUACGGGAGGCAGCAGUAGGGAAUCUUCCGCAAUGGGCGAAAGCCUGACGGAGCAACGCCGCGUGAGUGAUGAAGGUCUUCGGAUCGUAAAACUCUGUUAUUAGGGAAGAACAUAUGUGUAAGUAACUGUGCACAUCUUGACGGUACCUAAUCAGAAAGCCACGGCUAACUACGUG
Molecule: ribosomal RNA, 497 nt
Filed under: uncultured bacterium
Lineage: Bacteria
Description: partial 16S ribosomal RNA
Rfam family: Bacterial small subunit ribosomal RNA
Source: RNAcentral